Molecule: small nucleolar RNA, 150 nt
Organism: Gadus morhua (Atlantic cod)
Lineage: Eukaryota; Metazoa; Chordata; Actinopteri; Gadiformes; Gadidae
Source: Ensembl
CUUCAGUGAUGAUACGAUGACGAGUCGGAAACGAGGCCGUCCAGCUCUGGGACCGACCGGUCCAGGGCCACGUUUUGUGGUUCUGGUCCGGUUCCUCAGAGCGGGCGGUCUUUCUCGAUUGAAGACAUAUGAGGCAUUUGUCUGAGAAGG